RNAcentral lists this unclassified non-coding RNA (2395 nucleotides) under Leishmania donovani. Its description in RNAcentral is "gene:LdHU3.27.3720(CDS-product:hypothetical_prote in_conserved)". Lineage: Eukaryota; Euglenozoa; Kinetoplastea; Trypanosomatida; Trypanosomatidae. The record is from RNAcentral.
UGUAGUGGUUCCCUCUUUACGUAAAGCAGGUGAGCGAGAGAGCGUGUGCGUGGUUGGUGAGCGCUGACGAACACCGUUACCAUUGCCAGUCCUCGCGCCUCCUUCGCACAUUCGUAUUUCUCCUCAGCAAGACUCCGUCUGCCACAUCUAUCUGUGUGUGUGUGGGCGCUUGUUGGACAUCUUCAGCAGCGGCCAUGCCGUUCUUCUGCGUCGGCGAUGCGGCCACUUGCCCAUCGGAGGUGUGCGAGGACCUCGCCGCGAAGCCCAUCACAGCGCACCACCAGCUCAUCAUCUCCACCGUCACCCACCAGUUAGGCCCGUUGGCUGGCGCUAUCUGCCGCACCCUCAUCCAGUCAGGGCCAAUGUCGUUGAAGGACAUCAGCGAUGCCGUCCACCGCGAUGAGGAGGUGCGCGCCGUCGCCGCUGCUGCCGCCAACCGCGCUUCUGCCACCGGGGAGAAGACGACAGCGGUGCCGCCUACCCACCAAGUCGGCUCUAGCUUCCAUGUCAACCUUGGUGACAUUGCUUCGGUUAACGACGUUAUUCACGAGGUGGCGGUGAAGGAGCUCGUGACGCGGCUAGUGGUGCAUCGCCUCAUCCACGCAGACACGGCCACGCACCUAUACGAGAUACGCUACGGCAGCGCUAUCCUUCUGCGCGUGCUUUUCCCGCUCCUUCUCCAUUGCGCACGUCAGCAGUACGGCGAGGCUGCCAAGUGCGUGCUUCUCGUAGUCUACCAGCUGGGCGUCGUACCGCCGCGCGCCGCAGUGCAGGUGGCGCUGAGUCGCACCCCCAGCAUCACCCGCGACGCGAUCGAGUACGCUGUUGUUCGCAUGGCCGAGGAUGGGUGGCUAGUGCCGGUGCUCAACUCACCCACCGCAGCACCCGGUGCUACGACAGCGGCAAAUGCGGCACGGCUGGCCGACCUGGCCCCCUCACACCCGGGCGGCAAUGCCGAUAUGUGGAACACCACGACCCCGUACUCUGUGGGCCUCGAAGCCGCCCUGCAUUACCUCUUCAACGACGCGAUCGAGCAGGCCGUUGCUGAGCGUUAUGCAGACGGACGGCUUGCCCUCACGCUGGUGCGUGCGCUGCGGCGCCGUAUAGCACCGAACUCAGGGUACACCGAGGCUGUUGCCUCGUUCCAGGAGCUGGCGGCAGAGCUCCCGACCACUGCAGGUGUGCGCCGCGAUCGCAGCGGUGAGCCGCGGAUGGGCACCGACAACGUGCCGAGUAGCUCCGUGGAGGCGGUGCAGCGCUGCCUGCAGCGUUUGUGCCAGCCCAUCGUCUUUUAUAGCUGCGACGCCGCUGCGCCCAUGACGUCAGCCGCCGGCAUCUCCCCGAGCUUCACGACGAUGCCGUCGACGCGAGCGCUCUUGGUGAAGCCGCACAGCCAGAGCAACUUUUACGCGAUAGACCAUGUCACCGCUGUGCACCUGCUGCAGGAGGCUGUGUGCGAGCGGGUCGUGUACAGUCGCUACGGCGUGCUCGGUGUGCGCAUCAUGAAGCUGCUGCUGCAGCACCACUUCCUUGAGGAGCGGACGCUGGCGGAGCAGUCCAUCGCAACGUACGUCAAGGUUCGCGAGGUGCUGCACCAGAUGUUCAAGGACGGCUUCCUGCUUCAGCAGGAGGUGCCGCGCACCUCGGCACUCGUCGAACGGUCCGCCAAGGCGAGCGUGUACCUCUGGGGGCUGAGCUGGAGCGCGACGCUGCUGCCUGUGGUGCGCGAGCGUCUCGCGAAAACGCUGACGAUUGCGUGGGCGAAGCUCCGUGAGGCGCAGCAGCAGGCGUCCGCCGUCGCAAAACCUGCGGCCGGCGUCCGCCCCACACCCGCAGCCGGCAGCAGCAUCAACAGCAGUGCGGCUCACGCCGAGGAGAUCGAGGCGCAGUGGAAGUAUGGCAUGUCGCGCAACAUUCAGCAGGCACUGCAGGCCCAACGCGCUGUGACGGGGCUGCAGAGCUGCGUAAUGUCACUCAUGCGACUGCUGCUGAUCGUUGAUUUUUUUUAAAGGCGUGCGUCGCACAGCAGAGCGGCAGACGAACGCCGACGUGGUGGGCGUGGCGUCUCUCUCUCUGUACCGUUGUUUUGGUAGGCGUGCGCGCCAGCGGGACGGAGCGGUGCGGCCCGCACGCCGUCCGUCGCCGCUCUUCUGUCCGUCUUGUGCACCCGCGCGCGUGGUGUGUUGUGCGUAGGCGUGCCGCCCGCUCUGGAGGCUGCGUGAAGCGAUGAACAGAACGACUAACGAAACAUGCGAAGGUUGUCGCGCACCGCGCAUCUUACGUCCUGUCCUUCUUUCUCUCUCUGUGUGCUUUCCACCGCGUCUGUACGGCGGUGUUGCUCACUGAAGGCACCGCCUCCUCACAGGCGAAGGGGAGUGUGCGUGUGUGUGUGUUG